RNAcentral lists this ribosomal RNA (263 nucleotides) under uncultured bacterium. Its description in RNAcentral is "partial 16S ribosomal RNA". It matches the Rfam family "Bacterial small subunit ribosomal RNA", at positions 91 to 354 of the family's 1533-position model. The record is from RNAcentral.
UUUAGUGGCGGACGGGUGAGUAACGCGUGGGCAACCUGCCUUACACAGGGGGAUAACACUUAGAAAUAGGUGCUAAAACCGCAUAAGCGCACAGCUUCGCAUGAAGCGGUGUGAAAAACUCCGGUGGUGUAAGAUGGACCCGCGUCUGAUUAGCUUGUUGGCGGGGUAACGGCCCACCAAGGCGACGAUCAGUAGCCGGCCUGAGAGGGCGGACGGCCACAUUGGGACUGAGACACGGCCCAGACUCCUACGGAAGGCAGCAG